Nicotiana tabacum (common tobacco) is the source of this 3827-nucleotide non-coding RNA. NCBI's taxonomy places the organism in Eukaryota, Viridiplantae, Streptophyta, Magnoliopsida, Solanales, Solanaceae. The record is from RefSeq and is a predicted model, not a curated record.
CUCUACGCUUAAAAUACUCUCACCUUAACAACUGAUUUGUUUUCUUCUCUCUUUUCUCUCUCUCUUUGCAGAAAACUAAAAUCCAUUUGCUAAAGCGGUUUGUCAGCUAGCUUUUUCUCUUUCAAUCUUUUGCAGAUUUAUCAGCUAUUUUCUCCAAAUUCAAGAAAAAAGAGGGGUCUCUAUUCGUCUUUGAUUACUUCUGCUGAAGGUUGCUGGCACGUACAACAGUUGAAGUCUUGAAGCAAAAAGUAUAUACCUUGUGAAGUCGAUCGUCACAUUUAUAAGUAAAAUGUCUUCUCGUUGGUGUUCUUAAUGAUCGGAAAAUCAAUUUUCUGAUCAAAGUUGAGAAAGUUUGAAGUUGUUGUACGGUCGAUCGGCUUUUGGAGGUGUCGUUUUCGGUCGAGGUGAAAGUAGUUGAAAAACCAGCAAAAAAAGGUUUACAAGAGGGAGAAAGCGUGCGGGUUGAAACUUUUUGAAAGAUUUUUGUUCACGUGAGGAUUGAAAAAAAAUGCCGCAUAGAACGACUUACUUCUUUCCGAGGCAAUUUCCUGACCGCGGGUUCGAUGCAUCUGCAAAGUUUGUUAAUGAUGAUCACGAGAAGAAAAUCAGUACUGUCGUUGAAGAUCAAAUUAAAUCAGGAAAAUCUUCAGAUAAUGUCACAUCGAAACAGCUGACAAGUGAUCAUGGGAAAGAGACUAAUAAUAAUGCUUCAUUUUCCUAUGGGCACCGUGAUAAGAUUCACGGGAAGCAAUUGUCCGCUUUUGUGAGCUGGCUGGCGGAGAAAAAUAAGAAAGGUAAAUCAAUACAGAAUCACGUGAAGAUCAAAUUAGAUGAUGUUGAUGGCGAUGAUGAACAUGAACUUUUGCUUCCUGCUCCGCCUGAGGCUGUACCAGUACAUGAACUGGUUGCUUGCCACGUGGCGGAGGCGGAGGCGGAGCAGAAGCAACGGCAAGGGUCGACAUUUGAUCGGAAAGUUUCAUUACAGAGAUUAUCGAGUAGUGGAAGCAAUUUCAGUUGUGCGGGGAAGGGUAAUUUUGAGAGACAAACUUCGUUGCAAAGGCUAUCGAGUUGGGGAAGUACUAGUUAUGCAGGGAGUUUGUUUUCGGGGACGACGUUGGAUGGGAACUGGCCGAGUACUGGGGUUAAAGAUACGCAGACGGAUCAGUCGACGACGAGGGAAGUGGAGGAAGUGGUGGAGGCGGCGGAGGAAGAGGUGGAGAGAGUUGACAGUGAGGGUUCGUUGAUGCAGAAGUCGAAAGAGAGCUAUUACUUGCAGCUCACGCUUGCUAAAAAGCUUGUAGAGCAAGCAAUGCUUGCUUCUGGAGAGCCUAUGCUUCUGCAAGAAUGCAGAAGUACUAAGGGCCUUGGUGGUUCUUCUGAUGCUCAAACUGUGUCAUAUCGUUUAUGGGUGAGUGGUUCCUUGUCUUAUGCGGACAAAAUAUCGGAUGGGUUUUAUAACAUAUUAGGAAUGAAUCCGUAUCUGUGGGUUAUGUGUAAUGAGACAGAGGAUGGUAGACGAACUCCAUCUCUAAUGGCACUAAAAGAAAUUGAACCCGGUGAUACAUCAAUGGAGGUUGUUCUUAUUGAUAGGCGUGGGGAUUCAAAGCUCAGAGAAUUAGAAGAUAAAGCUCAAGAAAUUUACUUUGCUGCAGAGAAUACGUUAGUGUUGGCAGAGAAACUUGGCAAGCUUGUGGCUGUGUAUAUGGGGGGCUCUUUUCCGGUGGAGCAAGGUGAUCUUCAUCAGCGGUGGAAAGUUGUUAGCAAGAGAUUAAAGGAUCUGCAGAAGUGCAUUGUGCUACCAAUCGGCAAUUUGUCCUCAGGACUUUGCAGGCACAGGGCUAUUUUAUUCAAGAAAUUGGCAGAUUACGUAGGUUUGCCUUGUAGGAUAGCUCGAGGUUGCAAGUAUUGUGUUGCAGAUCAUCGAUCUUCUUGUCUGGUGAAAAUUGAGGAUGAUAGAAGAUUGUCAAGAGAAUUUGUGGUUGAUCUUGUUGGGGAUCCAGGAAAUGUGCAUGGUCCAGAUUCCUCUAUCAAUGGAGGUGUAUUGGCUCCUGUUCCUUCACCACUUCAAGUAUCUCAUCUGAAGGAAUAUCAGCAGCCUUACGUGGAUAGUGACAUAAGUAAUCAGUUACUGCUGUCAAAUGACACAUUCGGUCCUGCAGAAAAUGCUUUGCAUACAGACCCCCACAUUGAAGGUGAUCAUGUGAGCGAAUUUGCUGUCAGUGAUAAGCCAAAGUUGCCAAAUGAUGCACUGUGCCGCUCUUAUCAAGCUUUGGAAGUUGAACCAUCCGAGGUUCUUGUUGCUGCUGAAACAGCGGGAGAUGAGUAUUCUAGACCAAGAGAAGAUAAAAUCAUUAUCAGGCAGACUUACAAGGAGGAGGUUGUGCUAUCCAAAAAGUCUCCAAUAUGCCCUGGCAGACCGCCAAAAGCAACUCUAUUAGCUAAUAUAGAUGCAAUGGAGGCAAGAGGUAGAACAGGGAAGCGUGAGAAACCGGCUGCAACGAAUCCCAGAUACUUGAAUCUUGAGCCUUCUCUUGCAAUGGAUUGGCUUGAGAUCUCAUGGGAUGAAUUACAGAUGAAAGAGCGUGUUGGUGCUGGUUCAUUUGGGACAGUACACCGUGCUGAAUGGCAUGGAUCGGAUGUUGCAGUCAAGCUGUUAACUGUCCAGGAUUUUCAUGACGAUCAGUUAAAGGAGUUCCUAAGGGAGGUUGCAAUUAUGAAACGUGUUCGUCAUCCAAAUGUGGUGUUGUUCAUGGGAGCUGUUACCAAGCGGCCGCAUCUAUCGAUAGUGACUGAAUAUUUGCCUAGGGGAAGUCUCUACCGUCUGAUACACAGGCCAGCUGCUGGGGAAUUGUUGGACCAGAGGAGACGUAUCCGUAUGGCUUUGGAUGUGGCCAAGGGUAUCAAUUAUUUGCAUUUGCUAAACCCACCUGUUGUGCAUUGGGAUCUGAAAUCUCCUAACCUGUUGGUUGAUAAAAACUGGAAUGUAAAGGUUUGUGAUUUUGGUCUGUCGAGAUUUAAAGCAAACACAUUCAUAUCAUCAAAAUCAGUUGCUGGAACUCCUGAAUGGAUGGCCCCGGAAUUUCUUCGUGGGGAGCCCUCAAAUGAGAAGUCUGAUGUCUAUAGCUUUGGCGUGAUAUUAUGGNCCCUUAUUUUUCUCCAGCACUCAUCCUUACACUUGUUAUCCUCCUGAGGGAGUCGUUGACGUAUUGUUUGCAAACUUUCAGGUUGUUGGUGCUGUUGCUUUCCAGAACAGGAGGCUCACUGUCCCGCAGAACACGUCUCCAAUGUUGGCAUCUCUUAUGGAAGCCUGCUGGAACGAUGACCCAGCACAACGCCCUUCCUUUGCGAGCAUUGUGGAUACAUUAAAGAAACUACUUAAGUCUCCACUACAGUUGAUUCAGAUGGGAGGAAAUGUUAAGAGUUAGAUACUCUCCACUUAUUUUGGAGAAUAAAUUCAUCAGAGUUCCUAGAUAUAUAACUACUUAAUACUGACAAAGUUUGCAAAACCUCACAAGGUUUAUGCCCAACAAUUGCAAAUAUGUUGGCCAUCUAACUUUUUGAAUGAUAAACAAGUCUCUGUCCGUUCUUGGGGAAAGAGGCAUUUCUUAAGUUGUUUUAUUGUAGAACCCUGGUCUAUGUCAGCCAUUGUCCACCUUCCAAAUGUGAAAUAAUUAGAGGCUGUAACUAUGUAGUAAUCGGGAAUAGUAUUCCCGUAUAAGUCGAAAUUAUGUUGUAUCCAAGGAAAGCAUUAUUGAGAAAAGUUGAUGUAGCAAAAUUGUAAGCCACUCUAAUAAUAUAGAAGUGAUUCAGUUAUUUUUUUGGUUCUC